RNAcentral lists this small RNA (541 nucleotides) under Myriospora smaragdula. RNAcentral describes it as "eukaryotic LSU rRNA". It matches the Rfam family "Eukaryotic large subunit ribosomal RNA", at positions 1 to 543 of the family's 3401-position model. The record is from RNAcentral. Lineage: Eukaryota; Fungi; Ascomycota; Lecanoromycetes; Acarosporales; Acarosporaceae.
GGUUGACCUCGGAUCAGGUAGGGAUACCCGCUGAACUUAAGCAUAUCAAUAAGCGGAGGAAAAGAAACCAACAGGGAUUGCCUCAGUAACGGCGAGUGAAGCGGCAACAGCUCAAAUUUGAAAUCUGGCCCUCGCAGGGUCCGAGUUGUAAUUUGUAGAGGAUGCUUCGGGUUCGGCUCCGGUCUAAGUUCCUUGGAACAGGACGUCACAGAGGGUGAGAAUCCCGUACGUGACCGGCCGCCACGCCCGUGUGAAGCUCCUUCGACGAGUCGAGUUGUUUGGGAAUGCAGCUCCAAAUGGGUGGUAAAUUUCAUCUAAAGCUAAAUACUGGCCAGAGACCGAUAGCGCACAAGUAGAGUGAUCGAAAGAUGAAAAGCACUUUGGAAAGAGAGUUAAAAAGUACGUGAAAUUGUUGAAAGGGAAGCGCUUGCAACCAGACUUGCCCGCGGGUGAUCAGCCGGUAUUCUUACCGGUGCACUCGCCCGUGGUCAGGCCAGCAUCGGUUUGGGCGGCUGGACAAAGGCCUCCGGAAUGUAGCUCU